This 253-nucleotide ribosomal RNA is filed under the name uncultured bacterium. RNAcentral describes it as "partial 16S ribosomal RNA". It matches the Rfam family "Bacterial small subunit ribosomal RNA", at positions 524 to 776 of the family's 1533-position model. The record is from RNAcentral.
UACGUAGGGUGCGAGCGUUAAUCGGAAUUACUGGGCGUAAAGCGUGCGCAGGCGGUUCGUUGUGUCGGUGGUGAAAGCCCCGGGCUUAACCUGGGAAUGGCCGUCGAAACUGGCGAACUGGAGUGUGGCAGAGGGGGGUGGAAUUCCGCGUGUAGCAGUGAAAUGCGUAGAGAUGCGGAGGAACACCGAUGGCGAAGGCAGCCCCCUGGGCUAACACUGACGCUCAGGCACGAAAGCGUGGGGAGCAAACAGG